RNAcentral lists this long non-coding RNA (1115 nucleotides) under Vulpes vulpes (red fox). RNAcentral describes it as "lncRNA (ENSVVUG00000013421.1)". Lineage: Eukaryota; Metazoa; Chordata; Mammalia; Carnivora; Canidae. The record is from RNAcentral.
AUGAAAAUAAAGUUAAAAUGUGAAAUAAAGUUUAGCAUGGUAGUAAUUCCAUUUUUUAUGUGUUAUUUUCCCCCCAACCCCACAGGGAAAGUCUACUGCUUUAUCGUGAGUCUCCAAAUCAUCCAAAUGCUAAAGCUUCUAUUCUGGAAGACCUAUUCCUCCUUGACACAUUAUUUUCUACAAGACUUCAUUUAUGUAAUAUUUGGCUUUGUGGACACCUGCUAAGGACUGGCAUGUCUGGCAUACAGCAGGAAUUAAACAAAUGGAAAUGAGCAUAAAGAAGGUAUGAAAUGUGAAGCAAGUACAGGUUGGCUACUUUGAUUUCAUAUUAAAAAGUACUUGUGUAUUUUUCUUAGAACCAUUUUUUCCCUAUAGGCUUUAUGGGUGUUGUUGUUUUUUACUCUUCUUAAAAAGAUCUAUAGGGUUUAUCGGCUGGUGAACUGUGGUGAAGAUGCAAUAAGCCUAGCUGUUGAAACAGGAGCCAACUUUGCAUUUUGUGAAAGGAAAGAACAUAGGAAUGAUCCUGUUUGGACCAGGCCCUGAGCUUGAUAUGGAAAUCCUCUAAUUACUAAUGGGGUUGAACAAGAGCAGAUGAAGAGAUAAAGCUAUGGUCGAAAGGACUUCAUCUCUUGGACUGUAAUGGGACACUUUAAAUAUCUUAGUUGUGCCUGUUGUGACUUAAACCAAUUAAAGGUGGUCUUUCAUGGAGAUCUGCUAUUUUGGGAAAGCUCAAAUUUACCUGAGGAAAAUUUAUUGUUAAUAAGUUUAUUCAGUACAACCACAUGGGGAAUAUCAUUUUGAUGGGAGAGAUAAUCCUCAGCCAUUUAACCAAGUAAGAAUAGGAAUGCCUCAAUUCCUGGAUCAAAAUGUACAUACAGAAGGACAGAGGAAAAUAAUCUUUUUGCUUUGGUUUCAAAGGCUUGGUGGUUGAAUGCUUGCCCCAGUGAGGCACUAGAGCUUUGUGUUAAAAUGUCAGGUCUGGAAUCAAAGUAACCAUGUCCCAGUCUUGGCUAAUACUUAACUCAGUGAUCUUAAUUCCAUGUACUUCAAUGUCCUUAUCCAUAAAAUGAAGACAAAAAUGACAACAGUCGUGUAGGAUUGUUUUAAGGAUUAAG